Molecule: long non-coding RNA, 5706 nt
Organism: Cygnus olor (mute swan)
Lineage: Eukaryota; Metazoa; Chordata; Aves; Anseriformes; Anatidae
Exons: 3
Source: RefSeq, a predicted model, not a curated record
CUAAAAACAUUGUUUUCUCCUAGUCCUUAUGUUGCAGGGGCUGUGUUUGCUGCUGGCUAAAGAAAGAGUCAAAACUUGGAGAAAUAGUCAAAGGGUCACAGAAGAUACAAAACAAAAAUCGUAAAGAUCCCUCAGGUGCCAGCACCACCACAGCAGCCUGAGGCCAAGCAUUUAUCUCAGCCGUAUUAUUGAGUCACAGGUCCCCUUUCUAGAAGAUACCCCUCUGGUGACUUGAUGGCCCUGCCCUGAGCAGCAUGUGCAAAAUGUGAAUCCAAGACUUUGCUGCCCCCCAUGCCCUCAUUCUUCACUGUCCCUAUCUUUGCCUCUCAUCUUUUCAGCUUCCCUUUCUCCCCAUUUCAGUGAGAGACUUGAACAGCCCCACAAGACAAGUUCACUGUGUUUUGCUGCAGUUACCCAGUAUCCACAGUGAAGACCAGGGCUAAAGUGACGCAGCAUCUUGCCUUCUCUCGUGAGAUUUUUCCUUCCCUCUCCUUUGGGAUCAGAAUUCAACUUUAUAUAAGACCUGAGUAAAGAAAAUACUAUCUUCUGACAGACACCUAGCACAACUAUGAAGCGAUUGUCAUGUGAUGCCUCUUCUGUCUGCAGGAGUCAUUUGUUGGUAGCCCAUUUCUACAAAUUACAAUUCCUGUUGAAAGGCAGCUGUUGGGUGCCAUCCUCAGGGAACGAGGCUAGAACCUGAAGGCUGGAUGCAGGUCUGUGCUGUGCUGCAAACCUGCAGGGUGCUCUGGGGGAAGCUACCCAGGUUAUCUGCCCUAGCUCCCCGUCUGACCGUUCUGCGGCUGCAGGAUUCCCUUCCUCAUUUUGCAGUCUUUCUGAAGCCAUUCCCCUGCGACCAGGGAAGCACUUGGAGGCAGAUGCCUCUUCCAAUGUCUUUUAUGUUCAUCAGAUCUUUAAGGGGGUCAUCCGUGUCCCUGAACGUUAAGGUUUUCAAGAAGUGGAGCUGUGCGUUCACUUGAUUUCUAAUUGCAGCCAAGAUAGCUGCCAGGCAUAGCUGUGCCGUGUGACGUGCUCGCAGGUGACACAGUGCUGUUACCUCCUUCCCACCUGGAGAUCCCAGCUUUGUUCAAUGUGGAUAUAAGAGAGCAAAAGCAUUUCUCUGCAUACUUACAAAAGGCCAAGGAGUAAAACACACCAGGGAAGAAGUUGUGGAUAAAAGCCUGAGGUAGGUGGCAUUAAUCUGCUUGCUCAGAGGCUUGUUUUGGCCGUCGUCAGUCAUCUGUCAGCAACUCCUGCGUGAUCCUCUCAAACAGCAGCUACCGCUCAUGUUGAAAGGAGCUGGUUUCCUGGGGCAUUCCCUGCCCUCGAGCCCUGCUGCAUCGCACUUAGCUGCAGAAGUAGCUCCGUCCCUGCAUUCAGGGCCGGCCUGCAGGGACCGUGGCUGUGGUUGGCAUGCUGCCUCCCAUGCGGAUGACCCACUUUGGACAUUGCUUGCUGGAGAGCAGCGCUUCCAGACCGGGCAGCAGCAGCAACCUUGGGGUGUUGAAGCUAAGCCCCUGUGCAGCCUGGGCUGGGCAUCCCUUGGGGUCUGUGUCAGUGCGAUGCAGCUUGACUUUGUGCAGAGCAUGUAUACAUCUAAACGUCACCUGAGUACUCCGAAAGACUUGCUAUGGGAGCUCCCUGGUGGAUCUGUAUGGCGUGGGAUUUCAUACCCUGUAUAGCUGAGCAGUUCCUCAACCAAAUUUUUCAAGAAAUCAGUUAUAAUUGAGGCAUUGUUUUUGAAUUCCUCUUGCGGUUUCUGCUUGCCCUGCGACGAUCUCUCAAGAGGAAGUUUACUAAAAAUACCGAAGCAUAAGAGUUCCCCGUUCAACAGACGUGCGCGAGAGGCACGGGGGGUGGCCUGCGGCCGGCAGCUUCGGGCAGGCGUGGAGGAGGUGUGUGAACCUGCUCCCCAAAUGCAAGGGGCAAACGUGUAAAAGGAAUGCAAUAGGAAGUGGUGGCACUUGGAAUUUCUUUGGAAAAAGCUUUUUUUUUUUUUUUUUUUCCCUUCAAUGAGGCCUUACAGUUGCAUGCCUGGAAUACUUGUGAAAUCCCUGCUUAACUCUUGAUUCCCGUCUAUGCAAGAUGAUAAACUUGAUUAGUUAAAGUCCCCUGUGCUCAACCAGACCGAUAACAUCCAAAGUAUACCUAGAAAGAAUGUAGAGGUACAGUUUGUAAGGCAGUGCCCUCUGGACUCAAAUAGAAAGUGUUUCCCUAAUUAACUUCUGUCUAAGGGCUGGCAGUGAUACUUACCCAAUUGGCAAACCUAGUCUCAAAUUUCAGCUUUAAAAUACAAUUGGCAGCUCAGCAAAUUCAUAGAAUUGAUCCCCAUUCACACUUAUUUUUUGGCUUGCGUUAAGAAUGUGCCAACCUGGAACUCUAAACUUAACCCGGCGUGACUUUUCCAGCGCUGCUGCCUGAAGAGGGAAGCCUGGCAGCAGCGCCUGGGCGCCCGCCAAGACAAACACGCCUGGCAGAUGCCAGCACAGCGACGACUGGAGCCACAGGUGAGGGGAGAGUAAAAGGGGAAGCAAAGGGUGGGUUGUGUACCCUGCCCUGUUCCCAAAACCCUUUAUUUGGAUGACCCCACGUUUGGGUUUCCCCGCUCUGCGGUCUGAGGUGGUGCAGCAGCUCCAAAGGCUGAGCUGCUGCAUGCAGUUUUAGGGCUGCUUAAACCAAAAAAAAAAAAAAAAAAAAACGCAGUAAAGAUGCAGCAUGGGGUCUGCUUGGAGGAGCCAUCUCCUGACCCAACUAUGUGUUGGAUCCCCACGGAGAUCCUUCUGUGAUUUCUAAUGCUUGCCUGGAGCUGAGAGCAACAGUGUGGGUAAUCGGACUGCAUCGUGCCCCUUUGGGGCUAGCAAUCUUCUUGCCCAUAAAGAAUGGGGCUGCUGCCAGGACUUAGGUGCUAGCUUGUGGAAGCCUGCCCUGAGCGCCGACUCCUCUGUUUCUAGUGCUACCACAUUGACACCUUGUGGUGGAGCUGGCCAUCACAUUUUUUAUAAAUAUUUCUUACUGCAGGAUGAUUGGUAUACACGUUUCAGAUGUUAGUUGCUAGACGUUUCUUAGAUGCUUCCCCCUUCUGUUUGUACUUUUUCUUUAAACAGCACUGCUUAAGCUCCAUAGGACAAAUAAAAACAUCAGGACAUCUAAGUGCAGAUGCUGCCCUAAAGCAGUAUCUCCCAGGUAUCAUCCCCAGUUGUGUUUGCAAUAGCACGGAAGAUGAACAGAAAUAAUCACUGCGGACUAUUAUUUCCUUCUUUUUCUUAAACUUAUAUAGAACUUUGUUUCUCUGCCCCUUUUUCCAUACUCUUGUUAUUUUCACUUCAGUUUAGACAGAUAUCUGCAUCUUUUCUUCCUCCUCUACAAGUCUUAAAUGUGUUCUUUGUAACUUUAAAAAGAUGCUCUAAAGGGUUAAAGAUCUUCCAUAUGCUCUUUUAAAUGAAGACAGGGCUCCAAAUCCACCAUGUCGUAUAUUACAGAGCUAGUCAUUACGAGCAAAAGGAUAUUCAGAUGCUGAAGUUCUUAUCCGAGAAUGUUUCCCUGCUGGAAAUAACAUUUUUACAAGCUUCUGUAUUCCCUUCAGUCUCUUCCUAACAGGGCCUCCUGUGGGGAGAACUUAGUAUUUCUCAUUCUGAUGAUAGUUUUGAGUACCAUUAAUAAUUGUCUGCCAAUGGCUGUGUAUUUUUUGGCAAUAACAAAUCACAUUCAAGUUUGCUUCCCUGCUAAAAAUUUCUUCAGCACUGCUUUUGGAGCAAUGGUCAGAUGGACCAUAGCUUUUGCCCAGCUUAUCAUGGCAUUUAUGUAUUUGGGUUCCAUGAAGCUGCAGAAUGUGGUACUAGUUAUGAAGUACAUUUUGCCACUUACAACCUAAAGUGGUAAAAGCCUUCUCAUUCCUCUGUAUUUCUCCUGCUAGCCUAUUUAGCAAAUGUUGGUUGGCCUUCAGUCCUCCUAGGCUGCUCUCGUCCGUCUGCAGCUCUUUGGAUGACAGUAAGAGGAUAGCAUUAUUCCAUUAAUCUGGAAACGAAAUUGCUGGGCACUAAUGGUAUCCUUGUCUUUUUUCCACAGUCAGCAUUGCAGCUCGCUCUCAUUGUCAGCAGCUACUGUAGCUGAUACCACUCUGUACUUAGUGGUCUCCUCAUUUGUUUGCAGUGUCUGCAGUGUGGAUAAAUUCAGCAAGGUGAUGAUCACAGGAGAGAGCUGGACCCACUUCGCUGAGUGCUGCAAGUAUGCCAAUGGAUGUCAGCCACCCUUUUGAGGCUUACGUCGCAGAGCAGUAUCUUCUGGAGGAAAGCAGCCAGGCUCCUGGAGGAUUGCUCCCACUGCUUCAAUCUUCUAAAAGAGUCUUGAUGACCAAAGAGCAAAGAACAUCAAGGGCUUUCUGAGACUCUCAGGCUGUUGGGAUUUAUGGAUUCAUUUUCAACUUGGCAGCAAGAGCUGGACUCAAAUGCAUCUCAGCAGAGACACCAAAUAGCAACAGCCAUCUAUCGUGUCUGCACAAGAGGUACCUAUUCCUUUCUGUUAGCAAUUUCUUCCCUUACCUCUCAAGCCAGAAAGCAAUCCUACUGUCUUGGAAAGUAUAAAAAACUGCAGCAGAAGGUCCUGAGUCCCACAUGCUUGCUCAGUGGCAAAAUAACAAAACUGUUUUUGCUUGCCGUGGGCUUUUCGCCAAGGGCAGAGUUCCUCUGCAGCACUCAAUGACGUAACGCUGCUGCUGCUCUGCCCUAGAAACACAAACUUCAUGAGAAAAAUCCCUCUGAGUGGAUGAGCCAAGAGAAAUCAAGUUCUGUUUAGCACCAAAGUCUGAUUUAUUUUCUCAGACGCUUUCUCAGUAGAAUGCACAUUCUAAGUAUUUUACUGAAAGAUUUCUUAGUAACUAUAGCAGAAAUGAACGCAAAAUAAAUUAUUAAACCUAAGAGAGAGGUUCUGAACAAGCACCAAAUUCCAAUGCGUUCUUGAAGGAAAAGGAGAAAAGCUUACGUACGUGUUGCCAGCAAGCCAAGGGCACUAUAUAAAGGCACCAUGCCAUUUUUUCUAUGUUUUAAAUGCUUUCUGUAUUGAAAUAGGUAACCUACCUACAUUCCGGACAUAAAAACAUGUUGGCACUGCAGCAGGCUAUAACCAUACGUGUCGUGUGUGUAUUUUCUGAAUGCUGGCAUUUGGAACUUGCUGUUUGAGCAUUUGGAAGGUAUUUUUCCACUCUGCAUGGCACUUUUUGAGUGUGCCGAUGUGCAAGCAGGUAGCUUGGAAAGCUCUGGUACAGGUCGUGAGGCAAUCCGGUGAGCCUGUCUGGUCACUUCGAUGUGUUAAAAGCAGUGUGCGCAUAUUUUAUGGCAACUAACAAUGGCUGUAGAACUUAAGUACUUUCCAAAGCAGUUCACAGGAUACUUUUUCCAUAGUUUUGGUUUAACAUCAGUUCUAAUCUGUGUGCGUUUUCCAGUGGAUAACUUAUAAACUGUUCUGAUGAUCCAAAACUUGUUUAUCUGAAUGAGGCAACUUAUUUUAAAAAAUCACUAUUAUAAUGACUAUAACUAGUGGAAAAUAACAUGAGGAAAAAGCUAUAAUUAUUUCUUGACAGAGUCAACCACCAUGUGACCACAAGCAAUUCAGCUGAUACAGUUUGCUUAUUUCUGUACUAAUUUGCUGAUCAGUCUUUUAGCAAAUAAAAAAAUAAAAAGGUGCUGGUGGUUUCCAGAAGGAAACAGGUUAAAG